Molecule: long non-coding RNA, 972 nt
Filed under: Danio rerio (zebrafish)
Lineage: Eukaryota; Metazoa; Chordata; Actinopteri; Cypriniformes; Danionidae
Description: lncRNA si:ch211-145g9.7 (ENSDARG00000096092.4)
Source: RNAcentral
ACUCCAUGCGCUGACGUAACGUCUGACGUGCGUUCGAAUUUCGUCAGAGGAACUGAUUUUAAAUGAUUACAACUCAAAUCGGCGUAAUUUCUCACACAAAACCGUCGAAUAUACAGUAUUUAGCAGACUGAACACUACACAGGAACACUGAGGACUACUUUGUGUGUUUUUUCGCGCGCUUUAUAACGAACUCCUCAUGUUUUUCAUCAAUGAAAACGUCGUGAGUUUGGAGCGACGGGUCAGAAGUCAUGCUAUUUUCUCAGCGCUCUUAUCCAGGGACUCAGGAACGACUACAGGUCACCAUCAGGUCAUGAAAAGUGAUGUCAUUUCUCUGAUGUCGUGAGGUCAGAGUGUAUCAGUGAGUGUUUUUGCCAAUGGCUCCACCUCGAGGCGUUUUUCAGUAACUGCAAAAAAGAGUAGGCAAUGCCGUCCAAAAUGAGUUCAAGGAAACUCGAUUCCCAGAGGCCAAUUUUGGAUGUCAGCAGGCAUCGCAUGGACGAAGAUAACAGCCUUCAAGCAGAUGUCAGAGAAUGAAGUGAGAGGAUCCAGUCAGCCCCAGUCCUUCCUGGCUCAACAGAGGCAGUCUGCUACACUCAGAAGGGUCCAAACUAAUAUAAAACGAUGAAUUUGCUCAUAAUCUCGAGUCUGUACAUAGCGCCUUGGUGAGACACGAGCUCCACCUGCUGGUUUCUGAAUGUAUUUGCAUGCACAUAUUAGUUUUAUCCUGUAGUAUUUUUAUUAAAAGCCGUCGAUGCAAAAAUAUUUGUUUAUUUGGGUUUUGUGUUCUUUUUAUAUACAGUUUUUGUAAUUUAUUAAAUUUUAUUUAUUGUAUUUGUAAUUAAUUAUUUGAUUUAUUAAAUAUAGCCUAAACAAAAACAAGACCUCGGGAUCACUUGUUUACUCGUAUCUUCUUAUUUUACAUACCCCAAAUUCAGUAAAUGUGAGUAAAUAAAACUGAAGUUUUGCCAAACA